UGGUUAUUUCACAAAAACAACAAAGCAACCUCAGCAUAUGGACACAUUGAUUUACAUGAACAUUUCUGAGCUAUUCCAUAGGGCGAUGAUCAUGAUUCUAGGGCGGACCUGUGCCUUAGAGCCUAAAAACGAAGCUAGACUAGUUUAAUCAUGUUAUAAACUUUGUAUUUUCCUGUUUUGAAACAAUGGAACACUCUUGUCAAUAAAUAAAAUGUAACUUUAAUUUCCAUGGUUGUAUAACAAU
RNAcentral lists this long non-coding RNA (244 nucleotides) under Helianthus annuus (common sunflower). Its description in RNAcentral is "hypothetical non coding rna". The record is from RNAcentral. Lineage: Eukaryota; Viridiplantae; Streptophyta; Magnoliopsida; Asterales; Asteraceae.